GAUGAACGCUGGCGGCGUGCCUAAUACAUGCAAGUCGAGCGAACAGACGAGGAGCUUGCUCCUCUGACGUUAGCGGCGGACGGGUGAGUAACACGUGGAUAACCUACCUAUAAGACUGGGAUAACUUCGGGAAACCGGAGCUAAUACCGGAUAAUAUAUUGAACCGCAUGGUUCAAUAGUGAAAGACGGUUUUGCUGUCACUUAUAGAUGGAUCCGCGCCGCAUUAGCUAGUUGGUAAGGUAACGGCUUACCAAGGCUACGAUGCAUAGCCGACCUGAGAGGGUGAUCGGCCACACUGGAACUGAGACACGGUCGAGACUCCGACGGGGGGCAGCAGUAGGGAAUCCUCCGCAAUGGGGGAAAGCCUGACGGAGCAACGCCGCGUGAGUGAUGAAGGUCUUAUGAUCGUAAAACUCUGUUAUUAGUGAAGAACAAAUGUGUAAGUAACUAUGCACGUCUUGACGGUACCUAAUCAGAAAGCCACGGCUAACUACGUG
This 497-nucleotide ribosomal RNA is filed under the name uncultured bacterium. RNAcentral's name for it is "partial 16S ribosomal RNA". It matches the Rfam family "Bacterial small subunit ribosomal RNA", at positions 28 to 507 of the family's 1533-position model. The record is from RNAcentral.